ACGGAGGGAGCUAGCGUUGUUCGGAAUUACUGGGCGUAAGCGCACGGAGGCGGCUUUGUAAGUCGGAGGUGAAAGCCUAGAGCUCAACUCCAGAACUGCCUUGGAGACUGCAUCACUUGAAUGCAGGAGAGGAGAGUGGAAUUCCGAGUGUAGAGGUGAAAUGCGUAGAUAUUCGGAAGAACACCAGUGGCGAAGGCGGCUCACUGGACUGGUACUGACGCUGAGGUGCGAAAGCGUGGGGAGCAAACAG
RNAcentral lists this ribosomal RNA (250 nucleotides) under uncultured prokaryote. RNAcentral describes it as "partial 16S rRNA". It matches the Rfam family "Bacterial small subunit ribosomal RNA", at positions 525 to 775 of the family's 1533-position model. The record is from RNAcentral.